Dermochelys coriacea (leatherback sea turtle) is the source of this 1468-nucleotide long non-coding RNA. RefSeq lists it as uncharacterized. The transcript has 4 exons. Lineage: Eukaryota; Metazoa; Chordata; Testudines; Dermochelyidae. The record is from RefSeq and is a predicted model, not a curated record.
UAGGUCUGCACUCCUCCCCAGCUGCCCCCUUCUGAGCUGGGUUGAUCCCUUUUUAAUCCUAUCUUCAUUUGGAGCAUGCUCUGCAGGGCUGAAGGGAUGGGGCUAGCUGGUCCCCAUGUAGUCCUUUAACCCCUUCCAUCCCAGGGUGAAGUGUGAAUACCCCAUACACUCGGAUAAAACUUUGCACUUUUAAAGCACCUUUCAACUGAGGAUCUCAUCAUGUUUUACAAAUUGCAACUACUUCAUUAAGCCUCUCUGUAUGCCUUUCUGGAAGGGCUCAGAGAACUUUAGGGGAUGACCUUGAAUAGUCUCUAGGAAGAGUCGGAGGAUGUGUAAUUACCCACUGGUGUGAUUCUUCUGAUGGAAGCAAUGGGACCUGCAUCUGAAAGGCCUUUUCUUCCAGCCAAGAGCUGACUGAAUGGAUUCACUUCCCUACAAAGCAUCUCAACAUUGGUCCAGAGCAGGAAAAGAGCUGCCCCUGUAAACUGCACGCUUGCCAUCUCUGCCUGAUAACAUGGAUCCUGUACUGCUCUCCACUCUUGUGAAGAGCAUUAUGAACACAACAUGGCUGAUCCUGCAGUAUUUCAUGAGCUGUAAUCUGAAAAAGAAUCUGUGAUGUCUGCCAUUCUGUGUGCCAUGGAAAGAAACAAUUCAAGAUUGAUAUUGGCAUUCACGGAGCAGCUGCACAUGGUGGACCAUCACCAUCAGGAUUGGGAAACAAGCUCUGAGUGGUUGGUUCGCAUUGUGAUGCAGUUAUGAAAUGAAAAGCAGUGGCUGCAGAACUUUCAGAUUUGCAAAGUCACCUUCUUGGAACUGUGUGUGGAACUGGCCUCUACACUGUGGCGCAAGGACACCAAAAUGAAAGCUGCCCCCAUGGUGGAAAAGCGAGUGGCGAUCGCUCUGUGGAAGCUAGCAACUCCAGACUGCUACUGGUCAGUUGUGAAACAGUUUGGAGUUGGAAAGUCCACUGUGGGGGUUGUGGUGAUGCAAGUAUGUAGGGCCAUUAAUCGCCUCCUGCUACAAAGGACUGUGACUCUGGGCAAUGUGCGGGAAAUAGUGGGUGGCUUUGCGGCAAUAGGAUUCCUUAACUGCAGCACCUUGAUAGAUAGCAUGCAUAUCCCAAUUUUGGCCCCAGACCAUCUUGCGAUUAAAUACAUCAAUAGAAAGGGCUAGUUCUCUAUGGUAUUGCCAGCGCUGGUGGAUUACUGGGGUCAUUUCACUCACAUCAAUGUGCGGUGGUCAGGGAAGGUGCAUGAUGAUGGCAUCUUUAGGAACACUGCCUGUAUAGAAAGCUGCAUGCAGGGAUUUUCUUUCCAGAUCAGAAGAUUCUAAUAGGGGAUGUGGAAAUGCCCUUUGUGUUCCUGGGAGACCUAGCCUACCCUUAUUCCCAUGGCUCAUGAAAUCUUACAACCGGAAACCUUGACAGCAGCAAGGAGCGCUUCAACAACAGGCUCAGCAGAUGCAGAAU